Molecule: long non-coding RNA, 382 nt
Filed under: Rattus norvegicus (Norway rat)
Lineage: Eukaryota; Metazoa; Chordata; Mammalia; Rodentia; Muridae
Description: long non-coding RNA NONRATT000820
Source: RNAcentral
GGAGCCCGCUGUCCUCCUCAUCUUGGACACACAUUCCGACGACAGCUUGCAGGAGCCUGAACUGCAGGCUUUUAUAAUUUGUGAAGAAGAUAUAGAGAAACGAGCUACCCAGCUGCUUCCCGUGAGAAAUAAGAUGUCCCUAUGGUUAAAGGAAGUGUGUUCGGGAAGGGCAAACACCUCCAGAAACUACCAGACUCGGCCGAGGAUACCUCAGAGGAACUUCUCCAGAAACAAGGACAUUGGCUCUAGCGUGGGACGGGGGACAGGAUGCCUGUCCUCAGGGAGUGGUGGGCUGCUUUGCACCUGCAGACCCUCAUUCAUCCUGCAAGCCCCUCCUUUCUGAGAGACCACCACACGAGACACACAGAGGGCAGAUGACAGU